RNAcentral lists this ribosomal RNA (451 nucleotides) under uncultured bacterium. Its description in RNAcentral is "partial 16S ribosomal RNA". It matches the Rfam family "Bacterial small subunit ribosomal RNA", at positions 354 to 796 of the family's 1533-position model. The record is from RNAcentral.
GUGGGGAAUAUUGGACAAUGGGCGCAAGCCUGAUCCAGCCAUGCCGCGUGUGUGAAGAAGGCCUUUUGGUUGUAAAGCACUUUAAGCGAGGAGGAGGCUACUUGGAUUAAUACUCUAGGAUAGUGGACGUUACUCGCAGAAUAAGCACCGGCUAACUCUGUGCCAGCAGCCGCGGUAAUACAGAGGGUGCGAGCGUUAAUCGGAUUUACUGGGCGUAAAGCGUGCGUAGGCGGCUUCUUAAGUCGGAUGUGAAAUCCCUGAGCUUAACUUAGGAAUUGCAUUCGAUACUGGGAAGCUAGAGUAUGGGAGAGGAUGGUAGAAUUCCAGGUGUAGCGGUGAAAUGCGUAGAGAUCUGGAGGAAUACCGAUGGCGAAGGCAGCCAUCUGGCCUAAUACUGACGCUGAGGUACGAAAGCAUGGGGAGCAAACAGGAUUAGAUACCCUUGUAGUCC